RNAcentral lists this ribosomal RNA (158 nucleotides) under Helotiales sp. NK253. RNAcentral describes it as "5.8S ribosomal RNA". Lineage: Eukaryota; Fungi; Ascomycota; Leotiomycetes; Helotiales. The record is from RNAcentral.
GUGCGUUCAAAGAUUCGAUGAUUCACUGAAUUCUGCAAUUCACAUUACUUAUCGCAUUUCGCUGCGUUCUUCAUCGAUGCCAGAACCAAGAGAUCCGUUGUUGAAAGUUUUAACUUAUUAUAUAGUACUCAGACGACACUAAACACAGAGUUGGGCUC